RNAcentral lists this small nuclear RNA (107 nucleotides) under Notamacropus eugenii (tammar wallaby). The record is from RNAcentral. Lineage: Eukaryota; Metazoa; Chordata; Mammalia; Diprotodontia; Macropodidae.
GUGCUUGCUUCAGCAGCACAUAUACUAAAAUUGGAACAAUACAGAAAAGAUUAGGAUGGCCCUUGUGAAAGCAUGACGUGCAAACCCAUGAAGCAUUCCAUAUUUUU